CACAACUAAAGAAAAGUAGGAAUGCUUUACAAAUUGUGUGCCUGUAAUUUUCCAAAUUCAGUGGAGAAAUAGGAAUUACAUAUUUAAAAUUAAAAGUCUGCUCAAAGAUCCCAGGAUAGCAGCAUUUGAUUCUGCCACAGCUCCUAAAUGGACCUAAAAUUUCACAGCUAGAAAGGAUAACAGAAAGUUUUUUAAAAGGUGAACUGGGACAUGAAUAAUUAUACCUAGGCAAUAAUUUACAAAAUAGAAAAGUCUCAAAAUAUAUUGAUGCAAAACAACAUGCCAUUAGACUAUUUUUUCUUUUUGAUAAUACUUUGUGUCUUAUGUUUUUAUCUCAAGGCCAGAAGCUUCCUUCAGUACCUGCUAUAUACAAAACACAGUAGUGGAGGCUGUAGUCACUACAAACAUUGGCUGUACAGGAAGCAUGGCUGGGAGGUCUCAGGAAACUUACAAUCAGGGAGGAAGGUGAAGAAGCAGCCUGUAUGUCUUACAUGGCCAGCACAGGAGGAAGAGCGCUACACACCUUGAAACCACCAGAUCUCGCCAUAACUCACUAUCAUGAGAACGGUGCAAAAAGGGAAAUCCACAUCCGUGUUUCAAUCAGCUCCCACCGGGCCCCACCUCCAACACUGGGUAUUACAAUUUAACAUUUUGGCAGGGACACAGACCCAAAUCAUAUCAAUAGCAAAGAAAAUUCUGCUUUGUUUUGUACAUUCGGCAAAAAUAUUCUCAACACUCUCCCAUUGGAAUUUUACACAAGGUAAUGCAGUGACAUACAGCUUAGACAGUUAGAAGUGAUAAGUGCAAUUUUUGGCAAAAUUUUAAGAUAAAAUUAUAGAGAAAAAUGACUAAACUUUCCAUGUGGAUUUAACAUGAGAAUCCCUUUUUAGCCACUGAUUCUGAUCAAUUGAGAACUUGAGUUCCUGUUUAAUCUGAUAAGCUGAGCAAGGCAUUUUUCUAUUUCAGGGUCAUACUUGUUCUAAAUAAUGGAAAGUUGCCUGUGUAAUA
RNAcentral lists this long non-coding RNA (1008 nucleotides) under Callithrix jacchus (white-tufted-ear marmoset). RNAcentral's name for it is "lncRNA (ENSCJAG00000072968.1)". The record is from RNAcentral. Lineage: Eukaryota; Metazoa; Chordata; Mammalia; Primates; Cebidae.